Small nuclear RNA from Nannospalax galili (Upper Galilee mountains blind mole rat), 165 nucleotides. Its record names the gene U1. It matches the Rfam family "U1 spliceosomal RNA". Rfam says of the family: U1 is a small nuclear RNA (snRNA) component of the spliceosome (involved in pre-mRNA splicing). Its 5' end forms complementary base pairs with the 5' splice junction, thus defining the 5' donor site of an intron. NCBI's taxonomy places the organism in Eukaryota, Metazoa, Chordata, Mammalia, Rodentia, Spalacidae. The record is from Ensembl.
AUACUUACCUGGCAGGGGAGACACCGUGAUCAGGAAGGUGGUUUUCCCAGAGUGAGGCCCAUCCAUUGCACUUGGGAUGUGCUGACCCCUGCGAUUUUUCCCAAAUGUGGGAAACUCAACUGCCUAAUUUGUGGUAAUGGGGGACUGCGUUUGUGCUUUCCCCUG